RNAcentral lists this ribosomal RNA (497 nucleotides) under uncultured bacterium. Its description in RNAcentral is "partial 16S ribosomal RNA". It matches the Rfam family "Bacterial small subunit ribosomal RNA", at positions 899 to 1397 of the family's 1533-position model. The record is from RNAcentral.
ACUCAAAUGAAUUGACGGGGGCCCGCACAAGCGGUGGAGUAUGUGGUUUAAUUCGAAGCAACGCGAAAAACCUUACCUGGCCUUGACAUCCUGUGACAGCUUUAGAGAUAAAGUCUCGCCUUCGGGCGCACAGAGACAGGUGCUGCAUGGCUGUCGUCAGCUCGUGUUGUGAAAUGUUCGGUUAAGUCCGGCAACGAGCGCAACCCCUGUCCUUAGUUACCAUCAUUAAGUUGGGGACUCUAGGGAGACUGCCGGUGUUAAGCCGGAGGAAGGCGGGGAUGACGUCAAGUCCUCAUGGCCCUUACGGCCAGGGCUACACACGUACUACAAUGGUAGAGACAAACCGCCGCAAGAACGUAAGUUCAAGCUAAUCGGUAAAACACUAUCUCAGUCCGGAUUGAGGUCUGCAACUCGACCUCAUGAAGUUGGAAUCGCUAGUAAUCGCGGAUCAGCACGCCGCGGUGAAUACGUUCCCGGGCCUUGCACACACCGCCCGU